CCUACGGGAGGCAGCAGUGAGGAAUAUUGGUCAAUGGACGAGAGUCUGAACCAGCCAAGUAGCGUGAAGGAUGACUGCACUAAGGAUUGUAAACUUCUUUUAUAAAGGAAUAAAACGAGGCACGUGUGCCUUUUUGCAUGUACUUUAUGAAUAAGCAUCGGCUAACUCCGUGCCAGCAGCCGCGGUAAUACGGAGGAUCCGAGCGUUAUCCGGAUUUAUUGGGUUUAAAGGGAUCGUAGGUGGAUUGUUAAGUCAGUUGUGAAAGGUUGCGGCUCAACCGUAGAAUUGCAGUUGAAACUUGCAGUCUUGAGUAGAGUAGAGGUGUGCGGAAUGCGUGGUGUAGCGGUGAAAUGCGUAGAUAUCGCGAAGAACUCCGAUUGCGAAGGCAGCACACUGGAUUGCAACUGACACUGAUGCUCGAAAGUGUGGGUAUCAAACAGGAUUAGAUACCCCAGUAGUC
RNAcentral lists this ribosomal RNA (460 nucleotides) under uncultured bacterium. Its description in RNAcentral is "partial 16S ribosomal RNA". It matches the Rfam family "Bacterial small subunit ribosomal RNA", at positions 338 to 795 of the family's 1533-position model. The record is from RNAcentral.